CGGCUCAUCACAUCCUGGGGCUGAACAAGGUCCCCAGGGUUUGGCUGUCCGCCAAUUAAAGUGGUACGCGAGCUGGGUUUCGAACGUCGUGAGACAGUUCGGUCCCUAUCUGCCGUGGGCGUAGGAUAUUUGAGGAGAGCUGUCCCUAGUACGAGAGGACCGGGAUGGACAAACCUCUAGUGUACCAGUUGUCUCGCCAGAGGCAUCGCUGGGUAGCUAUGUUUGGCAGGGAUAAGCGCUGAAAGCAUCUAAGUGCGAAGCCCACUCCAAGAUAAGAUAUCCCGUGGGGUAACCCACCUGAAGGCUCCUUGUAGACCACGAGGUCGAUAGGUCGCAGGUGCAAGCACAGUAAUGUGUUCAGCCGAGCGAUACUAAUCAGCCGUGAGGCUUGAUCAA
RNAcentral lists this ribosomal RNA (396 nucleotides) under Candidatus Latescibacterota bacterium. RNAcentral describes it as "partial 23S ribosomal RNA". It matches the Rfam family "Bacterial large subunit ribosomal RNA", at positions 2533 to 2925 of the family's 2925-position model. Lineage: Bacteria; Pseudomonadati; Candidatus Latescibacterota. The record is from RNAcentral.